AUGCCCUUCUCCUAUCUUGGGAUCCCGCUUACGUUGCAACGCCCUACUGCCGCGCAACUCCAGCCCUUAGUGGAUCGCACCGCCGGCUGCCUCCCAUUCUGGAAAGCCCACCUGAUGAAUUGCGCCGGCCGUCUCGCCCUUGUCAAAUCCGUCCUGGGCAUGAUUCCGAUACACCAGCUCCUCGUGUUCGCCCCGCCACAGAAGAUUCUCAGGCAGUUCAAAAAGAUACAUCGCGAUUUUCUCUGGGCCGGACGCGCCGCCGCCAACGGCGGCCACUGCCACGUUAAUUGGCGCCGCGUAUGUUGCCCCCUACCCCUUGGCGGCCUGGGGGUCCAGGACCUGCAGCGCACUGGACUCGCCCUUAGGCUGCGUUGGCUUUGGUUCUCUCGCACUGAUGACACCCACGCCUGGUCCGGUCUUGACCUGCAGUUCUCCAUGGAGGAACGGGCCAUAUUUUUUGCGUCGACCUACAUGAUGAUUGGUGAUGGGCUCACUGCCAAAUUCCGGGAAGACCGCUGGAUUGAUGGCCGUUCGAUCAGCGAAAUUGCACCACUCCUGUACGCGUGCAUUCCCAAGAGGCGCAGAAAGCACAUGACCGUGGCUGAGGGCCUCCAGGACCAGGGCUGGGCCCGUGACAUUCAGCGUAUCCUCGGCGUGCACGAGAUCGGGCAGUACCUCAUGCUUUGGCACCUCAUGCUUUGGCAAAAGCUCGAGGGCCUCACGCUCACUGAGGAACCCGAUCGCCUAAUCUGGAAGUGGACCUCGAGCGGCGUCUACACUGCGCAAUCCUGCUACCGCCUCCUUCUCUGGCUCCGUGUGCUGUGA
This 825-nucleotide ribosomal RNA is filed under the name Triticum aestivum (bread wheat). Its description in RNAcentral is "partial small subunit ribosomal RNA". The record is from RNAcentral. Lineage: Eukaryota; Viridiplantae; Streptophyta; Magnoliopsida; Poales; Poaceae.